Molecule: long non-coding RNA, 342 nt
Filed under: Cinara cedri
Lineage: Eukaryota; Metazoa; Arthropoda; Insecta; Hemiptera; Aphididae
Source: RNAcentral
AUUGGUCCGUACUUUUUUGAAAAUGAUGUUGGUGAGGCCAUCACUGUCAAUGGUGAGUGAUACAGAACAAUGAUAACCGAUUUUUUUUUUUCCCAAAAUGAAUGGUAUGGACGUAGACGACAUGUGGUUUCAGCAGGAUGGCGCUGAAUACAUCCAACACCACGAUAGCCAUUCUGAAUAGCAAAUUUGAGGGUAUGGUUAUCUCUCGCCGAGGAGAUGUGAAUUGGCCACCAAGAUCAUGUAAUUUGACCCCAUUAGACUUUUUCUUGUGGGGUUUCCUGAAGUCGCAGGUCUAUGCCGAUAAGCCGAAAUCGACAGAUGACCUUAAAGUGAACAUAACCC